GACGAACCGUGCGAACGUUAUUCGGAAUCACUGGGCUUAAAGCGUGUGUAGGCGGAUCGUUAAGUGCCUUGUGAAAUCCCACGGCUCAACCGUGGAACUGCUUGGCAUACUGGCGGUCUUGAGCAACCUAGGGGCGAGCGGAACAAAUGGUGGAGCGGUGAAAUGCGUAGAUAUCAUUUGGAACGCCAAUGGUGAAAACAGCUCGCUGGGGGUUUGCUGACGCUGAGACACGAAAGCCAGGGGAGCAAACGGG
RNAcentral lists this ribosomal RNA (253 nucleotides) under uncultured bacterium. Its description in RNAcentral is "partial 16S ribosomal RNA". It matches the Rfam family "Bacterial small subunit ribosomal RNA", at positions 524 to 776 of the family's 1533-position model. The record is from RNAcentral.